AAGAAGCAYCKGCUAACUCCGUGCNAGCAGNCGCGGUAAUACGGAGGGUGCAAGCGNUAAUCGGAAUUACUNGGCGUAAAGCGCACGCAGGCGGUCUGNUAAGUCAGAUGUGAAAUNCCCGGGCUURACCUKGGAACUGCANUUGAAACUNGCAGGCUUGAGUCNUGUAGAGGGSGGUAGAAUUSCAGGUGUAGCGGUGAAAUGCGUAGAGAUCUGGAGGAAUACCGGUGGCGWAGGCGGCCCCCUGGACAAAGACUGACGCUCAGGUGCGAAAGCGUGGKGAGCAAACAGGAUUAGAUACCCUGGUAGUCCACGCMGUAMWCGAUGUCGACUUGSAGGUUGUUCCCUUGAGGAGUGGCUUYCGGAGCUAACGCGUUAAGUCGACCGCCUGGGGAGUACGGCCGCAAGGUUAAAACUCAAAUGAAUUGACGGGGGMCCGCACAAGCGGUGGAGCAUGUGGUUUAAUUCGAUGCAACGCGAAGAACCUUACCUACUCUUGACAUCCACGGAAUUUGGCAGAGAUGCCUUAGUGCCUUCGGGAACCGUGAGACAGGUGCUGCAUGGCUGUCGUCAGCUCGUGUUGUGAAAUGUUGGGUUAAGUCCCGCAACGAGCGCAACCCUUAUCCUUUGUUGCCAGCGAUUCGGUCGGGAACUCAAAGGAGACUGCCGGUGAUAAACCGGAGGAAGGUGGGGAUGACGUCAAGUCAUCAUGGCCCUUACGAGUAGGGCUACACACGUGCUACAAUGGCGCAUACAAAGAGAAGCGACCUCGCGAGAGCAAGCGGACCUCACAAAGUGCGUCGUAGUCCGGAUCGGAGUCUGCAACUCGACUCCGUGAAGUCGGAAUCGCUAGUAAUCGUGGAUCAGAAUGCCACGGUGAAUACGUUCCCGGGCCUUGUACACACCGCCCGUCACACCAUGGGAGUGGGUUGCAAAAGAAGU
This 942-nucleotide ribosomal RNA is filed under the name Pantoea agglomerans. RNAcentral's name for it is "partial 16S ribosomal RNA". The record is from RNAcentral. Lineage: Bacteria; Pseudomonadati; Pseudomonadota; Gammaproteobacteria; Enterobacterales; Erwiniaceae.